Molecule: ribosomal RNA, 255 nt
Filed under: uncultured Pseudomonas sp.
Lineage: Bacteria; Pseudomonadati; Pseudomonadota; Gammaproteobacteria; Pseudomonadales; Pseudomonadaceae
Description: partial 16S ribosomal RNA
Rfam family: Bacterial small subunit ribosomal RNA
Source: RNAcentral
GGUGGGCAACGUCUAAGGAGACUGCCGGUGACAAACCGGAGGAAGGUGGGGAUGACGUCAAGUCAUCAUGGCCCUUACGGCCUGGGCUACACACGUGCUACAAUGGUCGGUACAAAGGGUUGCCAAGCCGCGAGGUGGAGCUAAUCCCAUAAAACCGAUCGUAGUCCGGAUCGCAGUCUGCAACUCGACUGCGUGAAGUCGGAAUCGCUAGUAAUCGUGAAUCAGAAUGUCACGGUGAAUACGUUCCCGGGCCUU